GGUUAAGCGACUAAGCGUACACGGUGGAUGCCCUGGCAGUCAGAGGCGAUGAAGGGCGUGCUAAUCUGCGAUAAGCGCCGGUAAGGUGAUAUGAACCGUUAUAACCGGCGAUACCCGAAUGGGGAAACCCAGUGUGACUCGUCACACUAUCAUUAACUGAAUCCAUAGGUUAAUGAGGCGAACCGGGGGAACUGAAACAUCUAAGUACCCCGAGGAAAAGAAAUCAACCGAGAUUCCCCCAGUAGCGGCGAGCGAACGGGGAGGAGCCCAGAGCCUGAAUCAGCAUGUGUGUUAGUGGAAGCGUCUGGAAAGGCGCGCGAUACAGGGUGACAGCCCCGUACACAAAAGCGCAUGUGCUGUGAGCUCGAUGAGUAGGGCGGGACACGUGGUAUCCUGUCUGAAUAUGGGGGGACCAUCCUCCAAGGCUAAAUACUCCUGACUGACCGAUAGUGAACCAGUACCGUGAGGGAAAGGCGAAAAGAACCCCGGCGAGGGGAGUGAAAAAGAACCUGAAACCGUGUACGUACAAGCAGUGGGAGCACCCUUUGGGUGUGACUGCGUA
Molecule: ribosomal RNA, 562 nt
Filed under: Salmonella enterica
Lineage: Bacteria; Pseudomonadati; Pseudomonadota; Gammaproteobacteria; Enterobacterales; Enterobacteriaceae
Also listed under: 1 other name
Description: partial 23S ribosomal RNA
Rfam family: Bacterial large subunit ribosomal RNA
Source: RNAcentral